This 485-nucleotide ribosomal RNA is filed under the name uncultured bacterium. Its description in RNAcentral is "partial 16S ribosomal RNA". It matches the Rfam family "Bacterial small subunit ribosomal RNA", at positions 28 to 507 of the family's 1533-position model. The record is from RNAcentral.
GAUGAACGCUAGCUACAGGCUUAACACAUGCAAGUCGAGGGGCAGCAUGACCUAGCAAUAGGUUGAUGGCGAACGGCGCACGGGUGAGUAACACGUAUCCAACCUGCCGAUUAUUCCGGGAUAGCCUGUCGAAAGAAAGAUUAAUACUGGAUAGCAUAACGAGAAGGCAUCUUCUUGUUAUUAAAGAAUUUCGAUAAUCGAUGGGGAUGCGUUCCAUUAGUUUGUUGGCGGGGUAACGGCCCACCAAGACAUCGAUGGAUAGGGGUUCUGAGAGGAAGGUCCCCCACAUUGGAACUGAGACACGGUCCAAACUCCUACGGGAGGCAGCAGUGAGGAAUAUUGGUCAAUGGACGAGAGUCUGAACCAGCCAAGUAGCGUGAAGGAUGACUGCCCUAUGGGUUGUAAACUUCUUUUAUAUGGGAAUAAAGUGGGCCACGUGUGGCUUUUUGUAUGUACCAUACGAAUAAGGAUCGGCUAACUCCGUG